GUUGUCAUAGCUUAGCUAAAGCAUAGCACUGAAAAUGCUAAGACGGCCACAACCUGAUAACA
Molecule: transfer RNA, 62 nt
Filed under: Thermophis shangrila (Shangri-La hot-spring snake)
Lineage: Eukaryota; Metazoa; Chordata; Lepidosauria; Squamata; Dipsadidae
Description: tRNA-Phe
Rfam family: tRNA
About the family: Transfer RNA (tRNA) molecules are approximately 80 nucleotides in length. Their secondary structure includes four short double-helical elements and three loops (D, anti-codon, and T loops). Further hydrogen bonds mediate the characteristic L-shaped molecular structure. tRNAs have two regions of fundamental functional importance: the anti-codon, which is responsible for specific mRNA codon recognition, and the 3' end, to which the tRNAs corresponding amino acid is attached (by aminoacyl-tRNA synthetases). tRNAs cope with the degeneracy of the genetic code in two manners: having more than one tRNA (with a specific anti-codon) for a particular amino acid; and 'wobble' base-pairing, i.e. permitting non-standard base-pairing at the 3rd anti-codon position.
Source: RNAcentral